This 497-nucleotide ribosomal RNA is filed under the name uncultured bacterium. RNAcentral's name for it is "partial 16S ribosomal RNA". It matches the Rfam family "Bacterial small subunit ribosomal RNA", at positions 28 to 507 of the family's 1533-position model. The record is from RNAcentral.
GAUGAACGCUGGCGGCGUGCCUAAUACAUGCAAGUCGAGCGAACAGACGAGGAGCUUGCUCCUCUGACGUUAGCGGCGGACGGGUGAGUAAAACGUGGAUAACCUACCUAUAAGACUGGGAUAACUUCGGGAAACCGGAGCUAAUACCGGAUAAUAUAUUGAACCGCAUGGUUCAAUAGUGAAAGACGGUUUUGCUGUCACUUAUAGAUGGAUCCGCGCCGCAUUAGCUAGUUGGUAAGGUAACGGCUUACCAAGGCGACGAUGCGUAGCCGACCUGAGAGGGUGAGCGGCCACACUGGAACUGAGACACGGUCCAGACUCCUACGGGAGGCAGCAGUAGGGAAUCUUCCGCAAUGGGCGAAAGCCUGACGGAGCAACGCCGCGUGAGUGAUGAAGGUCUUCGGAUCGUAAAACUCUGUUAUUAGGGAAGAACAAAUGUGUAAGUAACUAUGCACGUCUUGACGGUACCUAAGCAGAAAGCCACGGCUAACUACGUG